Molecule: long non-coding RNA, 804 nt
Organism: Eupeodes corollae
Lineage: Eukaryota; Metazoa; Arthropoda; Insecta; Diptera; Syrphidae
Exons: 3
Source: RefSeq, a predicted model, not a curated record
GCGAGCGAUUUACCUUACCCAUACGGUAUAUUUACCUACCUUACCUCGUUUUGUUGGCUAACUUAACUGGUGCCAAUGAAGCGCCGCCAAGCCGAACGUACUUUACUAAUUCAAAUACGUCGCUCACUCAGUGCUCUUAAUUGAGUACAACAAUUGUGAACAUUCAAUGGAUUAGUUUAUUUUAAUUAUUUCAAUUGUCAAAUAUUUGGAACGUUUAAUGAAAAGUGCAUCCACAUUUGGGCACACCUUAUUAGGCUAGGCCGCCAUUGAGCACCGACUUCAGAGCCGUAGCCAGCAACUGUCGCGCACCGUUGCAAUCUACUAGGAUUCCUUUAAAGGCUCAAAGCAACAGCUUUUACUUCGUUAACGAUACAUUAAAAAUUAAACAAAAACUGAAAAAGAAAACAAAUAAUUAAGAUGCUAUCAGAAAGUUGGCAUAAACACAAGUUCGUAUAUUCGCGAUAAACAAAUAAACUUCUGGCGCCAUAAAAGCACGCAGACACGUAGGUGAUUGAAUUUAUUUUUGGCCAUUGAUUGGGACGGGAAAAUGGUCGGUCGUCGGAACACGGCAACAACAAUUUACUGUAGAAGCAUACGGUCCGUGUUUUCUUUAUUUCGAAGGAAAUGACGAAUUGCCCUGAAGAGACCACGACAACGACGGCGGUAAAGAUUUAUAAAUGAAUUCGAACUGACUUUUGGCAUUUUGUGUUCGUUUUAUUUAUUUGUUUUGGUUGAAAUUCUAUUUUUUGCUUUUAUAUAGGUAGAUACUUUGCUGCAGCACAUGCUGCAAGGUGUGAAAAUAAA